RNAcentral lists this ribosomal RNA (220 nucleotides) under uncultured bacterium. Its description in RNAcentral is "partial 16S ribosomal RNA". It matches the Rfam family "Bacterial small subunit ribosomal RNA", at positions 111 to 334 of the family's 1533-position model. The record is from RNAcentral.
UAAUGUAUGGGGAUCUGCCCGAUAGAGGGGGGUAACUACUGGAAACGGUGGCUAAUACCGCAUAAUGUCUACGGACCAAAGCAGGGGCUCUUCGGACCUUGCACUAUCGGAUGAACCCAUAUGGGAUUAGCUAGUGGGUGGGGUAAAGGCUCACCUAGGCGACGAUCUCUAGCUGGUCUGAGAGGAUGAUCAGCCACACUGGGACUGAGACACGGCCCAG